UACGGAGGGUGCAAGCGUUAUCCGGAUUCACUGGGUUUAAAGGGUGCGUAGGUGGGCCUGUAAGUCAGUGGUGAAAUCUCCGUGCUUAACAUGGAAACUGCCAUUGAUACUAUAGGUCUUGAAUUUUCUGGAGGUAAGCGGAAUAUGUCAUGUAGCGGUGAAAUGCUUAGAUAUGACAUAGAACACCAAUUGCGAAGGCAGCUUACUACGGGAACAUUGACACUGAGGCACGAAAGCGUGGGGAUCAAACAGG
This 253-nucleotide ribosomal RNA is filed under the name uncultured bacterium. RNAcentral describes it as "partial 16S ribosomal RNA". It matches the Rfam family "Bacterial small subunit ribosomal RNA", at positions 524 to 776 of the family's 1533-position model. The record is from RNAcentral.